GCGCCUGUAGCUCAACGGAUAGAGCACUGGUCUUCGGAACCAGGAAUGGGGGUUCGAUUCCCUCCGGGCGCACCA
Molecule: transfer RNA, 75 nt
Filed under: bacterium
Lineage: Bacteria
Description: tRNA-Arg
Rfam family: tRNA
About the family: Transfer RNA (tRNA) molecules are approximately 80 nucleotides in length. Their secondary structure includes four short double-helical elements and three loops (D, anti-codon, and T loops). Further hydrogen bonds mediate the characteristic L-shaped molecular structure. tRNAs have two regions of fundamental functional importance: the anti-codon, which is responsible for specific mRNA codon recognition, and the 3' end, to which the tRNAs corresponding amino acid is attached (by aminoacyl-tRNA synthetases). tRNAs cope with the degeneracy of the genetic code in two manners: having more than one tRNA (with a specific anti-codon) for a particular amino acid; and 'wobble' base-pairing, i.e. permitting non-standard base-pairing at the 3rd anti-codon position.
Source: RNAcentral